Molecule: long non-coding RNA, 1414 nt
Organism: Orbicella faveolata
Lineage: Eukaryota; Metazoa; Cnidaria; Anthozoa; Scleractinia; Merulinidae
Source: RefSeq, a predicted model, not a curated record
AUUAUUAUUAUUAUUCAUAGGUUCGUCGCGAAUAUUCUCGAGUGUUAUGCUGUCGCGAGGAGGACAAGCGCUUCUUGCUAACGAAACCUUCGAACUCUGAAACCAGCAAAUCAGAAUCGAGAUCGAGAAGCCAUAUCGACAAUUUCAAGAACAAGAACCAAACAAUAAGUAGUUCAGUAGAUUCUAUAGGGACAAUAGAGAGCAAAAGAAACACGUUUGUGGUGCAUGUAUCAGAUGGUCAAGUGCGCGUGCGUGGAGUUGCUACAGAUGAGUACAACAGAAACCUAGUAAGAAAUCGCCUGCAAAGUGGAGAGAGUGUUUCUAGUUUUGAGCAGCCCCCAGGAGAGCAGCAUCGUGAUGGCAGCAGGCAUUCUACAGCAUCUGUAGCCAGUGAGGAAUCCGAAAAUGAGCAGAGCAAUGAAGUCAAUGAACAAGACACGCUAGCUGGAGAGAAUUAGAACUACACUGAUCUGUCUGUAUCUCUGCACACUGCUCAGGGCGUUCGCUUAUCACGCGUGAGCCGCGCGUGGGACCCCGUGGUAGUCGCGCGCUUUAGUGUGGUUUGAUGAGAUGCACAUACACGCACUGGCAAUUAUCAGUCGCUUGGUGCAGACACUCUCAAAUACAAGAUAUAAAUUUUGUUAAAACAGAUAGGACUUUCUCCAUGCAAUAUAAAAGCUGCGAAGCAAACGGACAUGGUUUAACCGAAUCUGAUUUGCUAAGGUGCACACCCGGAGAUAACCUUUCUUUACCUGAAUUCUAAAAUCGCGAGUGACUUGUACAGAAUGCAAAUUUCAGUUACAAUCAAAAUAGAGACCAGCAUUAAAAGUAAAUAUUGAAGACUAAGUUAACGGAUAUGUUAAGUACAGUUAGACCGACUAAUUCGAACUCGAUUAUUUUGAAUUCCCCAUUAUUUCGAAAUCAAAACGCUUUCCUUUGAAUUAACCUGCGAACAAGUGUUCUUUUAGGUUCGAUUUCCGCCGCUCUCUCUUGUCUGGUCUACGUUGCUUCUUUCUCGAACAGCGGCUGGUAAUCGAGCCUAAUGUUCUUUUUCGAACUAUGUUUCGUCAGCCCCGAGAGUUCAAAACAGCGGGAUUCAACUGUUAUUGGUUUGGUAAGUUAGAAAAACAAAAAUGGAGAGUUGUGAAGGAUUGGGGAACUACUAACGUUUUAAGAUGCACCGUUCGUUAGAUUUGAUACGUUAUAUAAUGCUCAGUGAGACAUAUGCAAAAAUGAAAUCCCCAAUCGCUACUGCAGUGCAAUAUCUAAAAUAUCCACCAAGCUGUACGUAUAAGUAUAACAAAAUAAGUUUCUUGGUAAUAUUAAAAACAAAAUAACAUGCGCUGCUGUUUAUACCAAACUGUGGCUAAAGAUUGACUUAAUUUAGUAGCAAAAUAAAUCGUAAACGAACUCA